This 102-nucleotide ribosomal RNA is filed under the name Meriones unguiculatus (Mongolian gerbil). Lineage: Eukaryota; Metazoa; Chordata; Mammalia; Rodentia; Muridae. The record is from RNAcentral.
CCGCACACCACCAACCUGAACGCACCCAAUCUUGUCUGAGCAGGGUCGGGCCUGGCUAAUACUUGGAUGGGGACCUCCUGGGAAUACCGGGUGCUGCUUGGU